AUUGAACGCUGGCGGAAUGCUUUACACAUGCAAGUCGAACGGCAGCACGGACUUCGGUCUGGUGGCGAGUGGCGAACGGGUGAGUAAUGUAUCGGAACGUGCCCAGUCGUGGGGGAUAACGUAGUGAAAAUUACGCUAAUACCGCAUACGACCUAUGGAUGAAAGCGGGGGAUCGCAAGACCUCGCGCGAUUGGAGCGGCCGAUAUCAGAUUAGGUAGUUGGUGGGGUAAAGGCCCACCAAGCCAACGAUCUGUAGCUGGUCUGAGAGGACGACCAGCCACACUGGAACUGAGACACGGUCCAGACUCCUACGGGAGGCAGCAGUGGGGAAUUUUGGACAAUGGGCGAAAGCCUGAUCCAGCCAUUCCGCGUGCAGGAUGAAGGCCCUCGGGUUGUAAACUGCUUUUGUACAGAACGAAAAGGUUUCUACUAAUACUAGGAGCUCAUGACGGUACUGUAAGAAUAAGUACCGGCUAACUACGUGCCAGCCGCCGCGGUAA
Molecule: ribosomal RNA, 500 nt
Filed under: uncultured bacterium
Lineage: Bacteria
Description: partial 16S ribosomal RNA
Rfam family: Bacterial small subunit ribosomal RNA
Source: RNAcentral